UACGUAGGGGGCAAGCGUUGUCCGGAUUUAUUGGGCGUAAAGAGCGUGUAGGCGGCCAAAUAGGUCGGUUGUGAAAACUGGAUGGCUCAACCUCCAGACGUCGACCGAAACCAUCUGGCUAGAGUCCGGAAGAGGAGAAUGGAAUUCCUGGUGUAGCGGUGAAAUGCGCAGAUAUCAGGAAGAACACCCGUGGCGAAGGCGGUUCUCUGGGACGGUACUGACGCUGAGACGCGAAAGCGUGGGGAGCAAACAGG
Molecule: ribosomal RNA, 254 nt
Filed under: uncultured bacterium
Lineage: Bacteria
Description: partial 16S ribosomal RNA
Rfam family: Bacterial small subunit ribosomal RNA
Source: RNAcentral